Non-coding RNA from Hydra vulgaris (swiftwater hydra), 527 nucleotides. The record is from RefSeq and is a predicted model, not a curated record. Lineage: Eukaryota; Metazoa; Cnidaria; Hydrozoa; Anthoathecata; Hydridae.
UAAAUAAUAAAAAUAAUUAAUAUUGAGAAAUGUGACAUUGGAAAAAGUCUUAACAUUCAUUGCCACAAAACUGGAUUUUCAAGAAAACAAGGUUUAGUUCAAUUUAAAGAUCUUCCUUGUGAAAAACAAGAAGAAAUAAUAUGGCGAGCAAAUUUAAAGGAAAAAUAUAGUUCAAUAAGAAUUAUAUGUUGUUAUCAUGAGCAAUUCUAUGGAAAAUAUUUUGAGAGAAAAAUUACAAAGUGUUGCAAUCCUUUUGGAACACACAAGGAAAGUAAAAAAAUUGCUAUAAAAGGUAAUAUAAAGAUUUCCAUAGACAUGGCAAACUAUUUGCAAAAAAAAAUAAUGUUUAUGUAACCCCAGAUUGAAAAUUCUGCAGUAAAUGUUACAAAAAAGCAAUAGAAACUGAUGAAGAUUUAAAUUCACAGGAGGAAUGGGAAUCAAAAAGUGAGAAAAAAAUUAAGUUAGAUACCACUAUAGAAUUGCUUGGAAUCUCACCGGUCAAACUAAAAAGUCUUUCAAAACACAGC